UACGUAGGGAGCAAGCGUUGUCCGGAAUCAUUGGGCGUAAAGCGCGCGUAGGUGGCCCCAUAAGUCCGCUGUGAAAGUCAAAGGCUCAACCUUUGAAAGCCGGUGGAUACUGUGGGACUAGAGUACGGAAGAGGCGAGUGGAAUUCCUGGUGUAGCGGUGGAAUGCGCAGAUAUCAGGAGGAACACCAAUAGCGAAGGCAGCUCGCUGGGACGUUACUGACGCUAAGGCGCGAAAGCGUGGGGAGCGAACAGG
This 253-nucleotide ribosomal RNA is filed under the name uncultured bacterium. RNAcentral describes it as "partial 16S ribosomal RNA". It matches the Rfam family "Bacterial small subunit ribosomal RNA", at positions 524 to 776 of the family's 1533-position model. The record is from RNAcentral.